This 472-nucleotide ribosomal RNA is filed under the name uncultured organism. RNAcentral describes it as "partial 16S ribosomal RNA". It matches the Rfam family "Bacterial small subunit ribosomal RNA", at positions 335 to 798 of the family's 1533-position model. The record is from RNAcentral.
ACUCCUACGGGAGGCAGCAGUGGGGAAUUUUGGACAAUGGGCGAAAGCCUGAUCCAGCCAUGCCGCGUGCAGGAUGAAGGCCUUCGGGUUGUAAACUGCUUUUGUACGGAACGAAACGGCCUUUUCUAAUAAAGAGGGCUAAUGACGGUACCGUAAGAAUAAGCACCGGCUAACUACGUGCCAGCAGCCGCGGUAAUACGUAGGGUGCAAGCGUUAAUCGGAAUUACUGGGCGUAAAGCGUGCGCAGGCGGUUAUGUAAGACAGUUGUGAAAUCCCCGGGCUCAACCUGGGAACUGCAUCUGUGACUGCAUAGCUAGAGUACGGUAGAGGGGGAUGGAAUUCCGCGUGUAGCAGUGAAAUGCGUAGAUAUGCGGAGGAACACCGAUGGCGAAGGCAAUCCCCUGGACCUGUACUGACGCUCAUGCACGAAAGCGUGGGGAGCAAACAGGAUUAGAAACCCCAGUAGUCCCAU